AGGAGUCCACANUUGAGCAAGUCGAAGGGCUGUUACAAACCCGGAGGCGAAAAGAAAUUAAAGGCCGACCGUCAGGUCGCGCCGGUGGGACGAUGUGUUCGUUUGCUCGAACGCCGCAGUCCCGAGGCGUCUCGCCUUCUCAUUGCGAGAUGAGGCGCCCUCCGAGCGCAUGCGCUAGGACCCGAAAGAUGGUGAACUAUGCCUGGCAAGGGCGAAGUCAGGGGAAACCCUGAUGGAGGCCUGUAGCGCUUCUGACGUGCAAAUCGAUCGUCUAAGCUGGGUAUAGGGGCGAAAGACUAAUCGAACCAUCUAGUAGCUGGUUCCCUCCGAAGUUUCCCUCAGGAUAGCUGGCGCAGGCGUGAGUCUCAUGCGGUAAAGCGAAUGAUUAGAGGUAUUGGGGUCGAAACGAUCUCAACCUAUUCUCAAACUUUCAAUGCGUGAGAAAAUCGGCUUGCUUAAUCGAAGCCGAUUACAUAGAUCAUGCGCGCCUAGUGGGCCAUUUUUGGUAAGCAGAACCGGCGAUGUGGGAUGAACCAAACGCAGAGUUAAAGUGCCUAAGUCGACGCUCAUGGGACACCAUAAAAGGCGUUAGUAACUUAAGACAGCAGGACGGUGGCCAUGGAAGUC
Molecule: ribosomal RNA, 627 nt
Filed under: Dasycerus carolinensis
Lineage: Eukaryota; Metazoa; Arthropoda; Insecta; Coleoptera; Staphylinidae
Description: eukaryotic LSU rRNA
Rfam family: Eukaryotic large subunit ribosomal RNA
Source: RNAcentral